AAUGAAUUGCCUGAUAAAAAGGAUUACCUUGAUAGGGUAAUAUUAUGUAGAAUUCUACAUUCAUUGAU
RNAcentral lists this transfer RNA (68 nucleotides) under Drosophila formosana. RNAcentral's name for it is "tRNA-Ile". Lineage: Eukaryota; Metazoa; Arthropoda; Insecta; Diptera; Drosophilidae. The record is from RNAcentral.